Arachis ipaensis is the source of this 1518-nucleotide non-coding RNA. The record is from RefSeq and is a predicted model, not a curated record. Lineage: Eukaryota; Viridiplantae; Streptophyta; Magnoliopsida; Fabales; Fabaceae.
AAAAAAUUUAAUUUGGAGAACAAAUCAAUUCCAAUUCAAUUUUACUACGUUACCAAUAAAUGUCUUGUCAACUCCUGCUAAUUUUCAUUGGGUUGGACCCCAAAACCCAUUUCAUUCAAAAAGCCACAUUCCCAAUUAACCUAGGUUAAUCAUAAUAUCUUUUAUUUACUAUUGUAAACCUAAUUUACUCACUCCUUUACCGUGCAGCCACAUCCCCCAACCGCCCCCUUCCAGCGCCGUACAACCCAUCUGCCGUGCAGUCUUCGAUGGUUGCCACCGUCAACGGUAGUCAACGCCGCCGGAACGCCACACAACGACCCUCGUGAGUUGCUCCACGCAGUCGCCCAAGUGCCGCCGCUUCUUCUACAUGUCAUCGUCGGCCCCCAUCUGAAGACGCAUCCAUCCGUCUGGCGUACCACCCGACGGCGCCUCCUAUUGCUCUGCCUCAACACACGGCGCGGCUGAAGUCUUCCUGCGUCGUCGAGUAACAAGCAAGCGCCUCUACUAUUUGACCUAUGCAUCCCCAGCCAGCGCCGCUUCCUGCCUUGUGUCUGAGCCCCCUCACACAACGUGUCUUUCUUUUAGCACCGGGCACCGGCGCUGCAAUAAGAGAAAUCAACUUCAAGACAUGGAAAAGCCGGUACUAUAUCAUUCAGAAAUUUGUACUUUUAUUCUAAUUUAUCAGUUUAUUUGUUUCUAAUGGCCGCGUCUUAUGUUGAUAGAAGUUAUCGUAUGCUAGCCUCAUCGUUGUCCUGAAUCACAUACUUGGCAUGCAUGGUCAGUUUUCUAUACUCGUGGUAAUUGACAGCUUGCUUAGCAGAGCAUGGGUGGGUAUGCUUCAAUUUUAAUUUGGACACCAUCCAAUUAUCCUUCUGCCUAUCAAACAUCACGUACAUACUUGCUCUACAUCUCGUGGUUGUUAUUUUCUUUAUCCGAGAUGCUGCCUUCACUCGAAACUCCCGAUAACAUUCACGAUUGCAAUGUAUCGAUUGGUUAAUGGGUAUCCUUGAUUCCUUUCUUGUCUUGUCAAAGUUGGUAUUCCUAAUCCUAAUCACGAACCCAACUUUCUUUGCAUAAUUAGAAUAAAACGCUUGUGCCCGCUACAAUGAAACAAAUUGCAAUCCUACGUACGGGAUUUUCUCCUACAAAUCCAUUCAAACAACACAAAUUCAACACCGAACAAACUUAAAUAAUUAAUUUCCAAUAACUUGUUAGUAUUGUAUUAACAAUAGAAUAAAUUUUGCACCUUAUGAAUCAAUUCCGUAGCAUCAUCCUCUAACUCAAUAAAGUCUACAAAUUUUUCUUCCUAAAAUUGAAAACAAAGAACAUAUCACAAAAAAAGAUAACCAUCCACUAUUCAACACUCGUAAAAACUCUUCCAACAUCCACUUAUUCAUUGAUAACACUAAUUAAUAAACAAACAAAAGUACACUGAUUUAAAACAAGACUAUCCAUGUUAAUAUCUAGAAAAUAAAAAUCUAAUUAAAGUUGCAAACAUCAAAGUAACAUGGUGAACAA